Molecule: ribosomal RNA, 275 nt
Filed under: uncultured Paludibacter sp.
Lineage: Bacteria; Pseudomonadati; Bacteroidota; Bacteroidia; Bacteroidales; Paludibacteraceae
Description: partial 16S ribosomal RNA
Rfam family: Bacterial small subunit ribosomal RNA
Source: RNAcentral
CCUACGGGGGGCAGCAGUGAGGAAUAUUGGUCAAUGGGCGAGAGCCUGAACCAGCCAAGUCGCGUGAAGGAAGACUGCCCUAUGGGUUGUAAACUUCUUUUGUAAGGGAAUAAAAAGAGUUACGUGUAACUUAUUGUAUGUACUUUACGAAUAAGGAUCGGCUAACUCCGUGCCAGCAGCCGCGGUAAUACGGAGGAUCCAAGCGUUAUCCGGAUUUAUUGGGUUUAAAGGGUGCGUAGGCGGAAUAUUAAGUCAGUGGUGAAAGUUUGCAGCUC